UGUCUAAAGUAUAAGCCAAUCUAUACUGUGAAACUGCGAAUGGCUCAUUAAAAUCAGUUAUCGUUUAUUUGAUAGUACCUUACUACUUGGAUAACCGUGGUAAUUCUAGAGCUAAUACAUGCUAAAAACCCCGACUUUUGGAGGGGUGUAUUUAUUAGAUAAAAAACCAAUGCCCUUCGGGGCUCCUUGGUGAUUCAUAAUAACUUAACGAAUCGCAUGGCCUUGUGCCGGCGAUGGUUCAUUCAAAUUUCUGCCCUAUCAACUUUCGAUGGUUAGGUCUUGGCUAACCAUGGUUUCAACGGGUAACGGGGAAUUAGGGUUCUAUUCCGGAGAGUGAGCCUGAGAAACGGCUAACACAUCCAAGGAAGGCAGCAGGCGCGCAAAUUACCCAAUCCCGACACGGGGAGGUAGUGACAAUAAAUACUGAUCCAGGGCUCUUUUGGGUCUUGGAAUUGGAAUGAGUACAAUUUAAAUCCCUUAACGAGGAACAAUUGGAGGGCAAGUCUGGUGCCAGCAGCCGCGGUAAUUCCAGCUCCAAUAGCGUAUAUUAAAGUUGUUGCAGUUAAAAAGCUCGUAGUUGAACCUUGGGUCUGGCUGGUUGGUCCGCCUCACCGCGUGUACUGAUCCGGCCGGACCUUUCCUUCUGGGGAACUGCAUGCCCUUCACUGGGUGUGUCAGGGAUCCAGGACUUUUACUUUGAAAAAAUUAGAGUGUUCAAAGCAGGCCUAUGCUCGAAUACAUUAGCAUGGAAUAAUAGAAUAGGACGUGUGGUUCUAUUUUGUUGGUUUCUAGGACCGCCGUAAUGAUUAAUAGGGAUAGUCGGGGGCAUCAGUAUUCAAUUGUCAGAGGUGAAAUUCUUGGAUUUAUUGAAGACUAACUACUGCGAAAGCAUUUGCCAAGGAUGUUUUCAUUAAUCAGUGAACGAAAGUUAGGGGAUCGAAGACGAUCAGAUACCGUCGUAGUCUUAACCAUAAACUAUGCCGACUAGGGAUCGGGCGAUGUUACUUUUUUGACUCGCUCGGCACCUUACGAGAAAUCAAAGUCU
This is a ribosomal RNA of 1045 nucleotides. It matches the Rfam family "Eukaryotic small subunit ribosomal RNA", at positions 56 to 1106 of the family's 1831-position model.